AUCUGAUUGAGUUAUAAGAACAGAUAUGGAGACUUGUUAAAAAAAAAGAACAGAUCUAGAGAUGAUGAUGAUGAUGUCUUUAGGUUGAAGGUGAAGAUCAAAGGCAGGGGUAAUUUAGUCAUUUCGUAUGGGUCUUGUUUCGUUAAGGGUAAAAUGGGAAGUUCAUGUACAAAAAGCUGAGUCAGCAAAGUCUUGACCCAGUCAGAUGGUGCCACGUCAUUGCCACAUCAGUAAUCACGUGCCACAUAGGCAAUAAGAAGUAAUUAGGACUAAAUUUUAAAUGCUUAAUAUUUGCAGGGGCAAAAUGGAAGGAUUAGUAAGUUCAGGGAUGAAAUUUC
RNAcentral lists this long non-coding RNA (338 nucleotides) under Medicago truncatula (barrel medic). RNAcentral's name for it is "lncRNA gene816". The record is from RNAcentral. Lineage: Eukaryota; Viridiplantae; Streptophyta; Magnoliopsida; Fabales; Fabaceae.